RNAcentral lists this long non-coding RNA (222 nucleotides) under Physcomitrium patens. RNAcentral describes it as "long non-coding RNA (PPAT_LNC010520)". Lineage: Eukaryota; Viridiplantae; Streptophyta; Bryopsida; Funariales; Funariaceae. The record is from RNAcentral.
UCAAAUCACCUCAUUCUCACUCUUACAAAUUCACACAUGCAUGCAUUCAUCUGUACACACACAUGCAUUUAUUCAUUGAUUUACACAUGCAUGCAUUCAUCUGUACACACCCCUGCAUGCUAAAGGAAUCCAAUACCACCAAACAAACAAACAAAGCGGGUAACACUGCAAGCACUUCGAGAGAGGCGCCAUGAAAACACCCACCUUGCACAGCAUUUCGUG